Molecule: ribosomal RNA, 486 nt
Filed under: uncultured bacterium
Lineage: Bacteria
Description: bacterial SSU rRNA
Rfam family: Bacterial small subunit ribosomal RNA
Source: RNAcentral
CUACGUGCCAGCAGCCGCGGUAAUACGUAGGGUGCGAGCGUUAAUCGGAAUUACUGGGCGUAAAGCGGGCGCAGACGGUUACUUAAGCAGGAUGUGAAAUCCCCGGGCUCAACCUGGGAACUGCGUUCUGAACUGGGUGACUAGAGUGUGUCAGAGGGAGGUAGAAUUCCACGUGUAGCAGUGAAAUGCGUAGAGAUGUGGAGGAAUACCGAUGGCGAAGGCAGCCUCCUGGGAUAACACUGACGUUCAUGCCCGAAAGCGUGGGUAGCAAACAGGAUUAGAUACCCUGGUAGUCCACGCCCUAAACGAUGUCGAUUAGCUGUUGGGCAGCAUGACUGCUUAGUAGCGAAGCUAACGCGUGAAAUCGACCGCCUGGGGAGUACGGUCGCAAGAUUAAAACUCAAAGGAAUUGACGGGGACCCGCMCAAGCGGUGGAUGAUGUGGAUUAAUUCGAUGCAACGCGAAGAACCUUACCKGUCUUGACAU